GAAGGCAGAUAUCUUUCUUGCGGAUGGAAGAAUACAGUGGGGCCGUAGUGUUUAAUAAGGGCGUGGAUCUGCUCCAAAUUUGGCAUUGCGUACAAGGAGGAAUCGAGGUUCUUUAAGCAACAUAUGCUCAUUUCAUCCUCAAAUAUAUCAUACAUACUGCAUAGGAACGUCCCAACCGGUACACCCUUUCCCCACAUCCCACGAUGCGAAGGCCUUG
This 217-nucleotide unclassified non-coding RNA is filed under the name Hevea brasiliensis (rubber tree). The record is from RNAcentral. Lineage: Eukaryota; Viridiplantae; Streptophyta; Magnoliopsida; Malpighiales; Euphorbiaceae.